RNAcentral lists this unclassified non-coding RNA (214 nucleotides) under Glomus sp. RNAcentral's name for it is "partial contains 5.8S ribosomal RNA and internal transcribed spacer 2". The stretch from base 1 to 65 matches the Rfam family "5.8S ribosomal RNA", at positions 84 to 154 of the family's 154-position model. The record is from RNAcentral. Lineage: Eukaryota; Fungi; Glomeromycota; Glomeromycetes; Glomerales; Glomeraceae.
GUGAAUCAUCAAAUUUUUGAACGCAAAUUGCAGUCUCCUCGGAGAGUAUGCCUGUUUGAGGGUCAGCCUAUAAAAAAUCGACAUCGUUGCUGUUUCGCGGUGGCGUUCGUCGGAAAUUGGGUCAUCUUAAAUCUUUGGUUUUUAGGGGAUUAAAAUUUUUCUUUUUGUUUCAAGGACGGUUUUUAGGAUUAUUUCCUUAAAAGGUUUAGGGUAU